This 253-nucleotide ribosomal RNA is filed under the name uncultured bacterium. RNAcentral's name for it is "partial 16S ribosomal RNA". It matches the Rfam family "Bacterial small subunit ribosomal RNA", at positions 524 to 776 of the family's 1533-position model. The record is from RNAcentral.
UACAGAGGUCUCAAGCGUUGUUCGGAUUCAUUGGGCGUAAAGGGUGUGUAGGUGGCGCCGUUAGUCGGGUGUGAAAUUUCGGAGCUUAACUCCGAAACUGCAUUCGAUACUGCGGUGCUUGAGGACUGGAGAGGAGACUGGAAUUCAUGGUGUAGCAGUGAAAUGCGUAGAGAUCAUGAGGAAGACCAGUGGCGAAGGCGGGUCUCUGGACAGUUCCUGACACUAAGACACGAAGGCCAGGGGAGCAAACGGG